Molecule: non-coding RNA, 117 nt
Organism: Pan troglodytes (chimpanzee)
Lineage: Eukaryota; Metazoa; Chordata; Mammalia; Primates; Hominidae
Rfam family: Metazoan signal recognition particle RNA
About the family: The signal recognition particle (SRP) is a universally conserved ribonucleoprotein. It is involved in the co-translational targeting of proteins to membranes. The eukaryotic SRP consists of a 300-nucleotide 7S RNA and six proteins: SRPs 72, 68, 54, 19, 14, and 9.
Source: Rfam
GCCAGGCAUGGUGGCUCAUGCCUGUAAUCCAAGCAGUUUGGGAGGCCGAGGCAGGUGGAUCACCUGAGGUCAGGAAUUCGAGACCAGCCUGACCAACAUGGAGAAACCCUGUCUCUA